UUAAGUGACUAAGCGUACACGGUGGAUGCCUAGGCAGUCAGAGGCGAUGAAGGGCGUGCUAAUCUGCGAAAAGCGUCGGUAAGGUGAUAUGAACCGUUAUAACCGGCGAUACCCGAAUGGGGAAACCCAGUGUGUUUCGACACACUAUCAUGUCAUGAAUACAUAGUGGCAUGAGGCGAACCGGGGGAACUGAAACAUCUAAGUACCCCGAGGAAAAGAAAUCAACCGAGAUUCCCCCAGUAGCGGCGAGCGAACGGGGAGGAGCCCAGAACCUGAAUCGGCUUGUGUGUUAGUGGAAGCGUCUGGAAAGUCGCGCAGUAAAGGGUGAUAGCCCCGUACACUAAAAUGCACAGGUCGUGAGUUCGAUGAGUAGGGCGGGACACGUGACAUCCUGUCUGAAUAUGGGGGGACCAUCCUCCAAGGCUAAAUACUCCUGACUGACCGAUAGUGAACCAGUACCGUGAGGGAAAGGCGAAAAGAACCCCGGCGAGGGGAGUGAAAUAGAACCUGAAACCGUGUACGUACAAGCAGUGGGAGCACCUUCGUGGUGUGACUGCGUACCUUUUGUAUAAUGGGUCAGCGACUUAUAUUUUGUAGCAAGGUUAACCGUAUAGGGGAGCCGUAGGGAAACCGAGUCUUAACUGGGCGUCUAGUUGCAAGGUAUAGACCCGAAACCCGGUGAUCUAGCCAUGGGCAGGUUGAAGGUUGGGUAACACUAACUGGAGGACCGAACCGACUAAUGUUGAAAAAUUAGCGGAUGACUUGUGGCUGGGGGUGAAAGGCCAAUCAAACCGGGAGAUAGCUGGUUCUCCCCGAAAGCUAUUUAGGUAGCGCCUCGUGAACUCAUCUUCGGGGGUAGAGCACUGUUUCGGCUAGGGGGCCAUCCCGGCUUACCAAACCGAUGCAAACUCCGAAUACCGAAGAAUGUUAUCACGGGAGACACACGGCGGGUGCUAACGUCCGUCGUGAAGAGGGAAACAACCCAGACCGCCAGCUAAGGUCCCAAAGUCAUGGUUAAGUGGGAAACGAUGUGGGAAGGCAUAGACAGCCAGGAUGUUGGCUUAGAAGCAGCCAUCAUUUAAAGAAAGCGUAAUAGCUCACUGGUCGAGUCGGCCUGCGCGGAAGAUGUAACGGGGCUAAACCAUGCACCGAAGCUGCGGCAGCGACGCUUAGGCGUUGUUGGGUAGGGGAGCGUUCUGUAAGCCGUUGAAGGUGGCCUGUGAGGGUUGCUGGAGGUAUCAGAAGUGCGAAUGCUGACAUAAGUAACGAUAAAGCGGGUGAAAAGCCCGCUCGCCGGAAGACCAAGGGUUCCUGUCCAACGUUAAUCGGGGCAGGGUGAGUCGACCCCUAAGGCGAGGCUGAAAAGCGUAGUCGAUGGGAAACAGGUUAAUAUUCCUGUACUUGGUGUUACUGCGAAGGGGGGACGGAGAAGGCUAGGCUAGCCGGGCGACGGUUGUCCCGGUUUAAGCGUGUAGGGGGUGUGACCUGGUAAAUCCGGUUGCAUAUCAACCCUGAGGCGUGAUGACGAUGCACUACGGUGCAGAAGUAGUUGAUGCCCUGCUUCCAGGAAAAUCCUCUAAGCUCCAGGUAACAUUAAAUCGUACCCCAAACCGACACAGGUGGUCAGGUAGAGAAUACCAAGGCGCUUGAGAGAACUCGGGUGAAGGAACUAGGCAAAAUGGUGCCGUAACUUCGGGAGAAGGCACGCUGGCAUGUAGGUGAAGUCCCUUGCGGAUGGAGCUGAAGCCAGUCGAAGAUACCAGCUGGCUGCAACUGUUUAAUAAAAACACAGCACUGUGCAAACACGAAAGUGGACGUAUACGGUGUGACGCCUGCCCGGUGCUGGAAGGUUAAUUGAUGGGGUCAGCCGCAAGGCGAAGCUCUUGAUCGAAGCCCCAGUAAACGGCGGCCGUAACUAUAACGGUCCUAAGGUAGCGAAAUUCCUUGUCGGGUAAGUUCCGACCUGCACGAAUGGCGUAAUGAUGGCCAGGCUGUCUCCACCCGAGACUCAGUGAAAUUGAACUCGCUGUGAAGAUGCAGUGUACCCGCGGCAAGACGGAAAGACCCCGUGAACCUUUACUAUAGCUUGACACUGAACAUUGAGCCUUGAUGUGUAGGAUAGGUGGGAGGCUUUGAAGCGUGGACGCCAGUCUGCGUGGAGCCAUCCUUGAAAUACCACCCUUUAAUGUUUGAUGUUCUAACUCUGCCCCAUAAUCUGGGGUGAGGACAGUGUCUGGUGGGUAGUUUGACUGGGGCGGUCUCCUCCCAAAGAGUAACGGAGGAGCACGAAGGUUAGCUAAUCACGGUCGGACAUCGUGAGGUUAGUGCAAAGGCAUAAGCUAGCUUGACUGCGAGAGUGACGGCUCGAGCAGGUACGAAAGUAGGUCUUAGUGAUCCGGUGGUUCUGAAUGGAAGGGCCAUCGCUCAACGGAUAAAAGGUACUCCGGGGAUAACAGGCUGAUACCGCCCAAGAGUUCAUAUCGACGGCGGUGUUUGGCACCUCGAUGUCGGCUCAUCACAUCCUGGGGCUGAAGUAGGUCCCAAGGGUAUGGCUGUUCGCCAUUUAAAGUGGUACGCGAGCUGGGUUUAGAACGUCGUGAGACAGUUCGGUCCCUAUCUGCCGUGGGCGUUGGAAGAUUGAGAGGGGUUGCUCCUAGUACGAGAGGACCGGAGUGAACGCACCACUGGUGUUCGGGUUGUCAUGCCAAUGGCAUUGCCCGGUAGCUAAGUGCGGAAAAGAUAAGCGCUGAAAGCAUCUAAGCGCGAAACUUGCCUCAAGAUGAGUCUUCCCUGGGCCUUUAAGGCCCCUGAAGGAACGUUUAAGACUAAGACGUUGAUAGGCUGGGUGUGUAAGUGCAGCGAUGCAUUGAGCUAACCAGUACUAAUGAUCCGUGAGGCUUAACCUU
This 2906-nucleotide ribosomal RNA is filed under the name Serratia marcescens. RNAcentral's name for it is "bacterial LSU rRNA". It matches the Rfam family "Bacterial large subunit ribosomal RNA". Lineage: Bacteria; Pseudomonadati; Pseudomonadota; Gammaproteobacteria; Enterobacterales; Yersiniaceae. The record is from RNAcentral.